UACUGAGCACAUUAAGCACUCUAGGAGCCAAGAUAGUUUCCUGAAACACGUGAAGGAAAAUGAUCAGAAAGAGAAGGAAGCCAAAGAGAAAACUACCUGGGUUCAACUGAAGCGCCAGUAUGCUCCACCCAGAGAAGCACACCACGUGAGAACCAGUGGGAAGGAGCCUGGGGUGCUGGAACUUCUUCCUUAUGUCAUAAUAGAUUCUGUGGGCUUUUUGCCAGAAUUACAACAUUUCUACAAAGGAUAAAAGAAUAAAGUCACCCAGCAAGAGGAACCCUGGUUUCUAGAGCUUGCCUUAUGGAGUGGGGGGUUAGAAUCAGGAACUGCGCUGACCACAGAGGAUCGGGCAACAUCGACUGUGUGCUGUUUGCUAACUGAAAGUUCAGAGGGAGGCAGUUUGGCCCCUCCUUGGACCUCUGGCUGAGAGAAGGGAUGUACACGGAGUGGCACCAACACACCCAGGCAGACGCUCACAUUAUGAAACAUAAAUGCAGAGUGAACAAAGAGUGUUGCAAAUCACUCAGCUUGGCUAGCUGCUGCCAAAGCAAUUCAGUACUCCUCAUGAAGCCUGCUCUGCAUUCCAGAAAACAAAAAAAAUUAGAGGCCUGAUAAGAUAACCAGGUAAUUAAUGAAGCAAUUUCCCC
Gorilla gorilla gorilla (western lowland gorilla) is the source of this 647-nucleotide long non-coding RNA. RefSeq lists it as uncharacterized. The record is from RefSeq and is a predicted model, not a curated record. The transcript has 3 exons. NCBI's taxonomy places the organism in Eukaryota, Metazoa, Chordata, Mammalia, Primates, Hominidae.